CCUAACACAUGCAAGUGGAGCGGGGUGACUAAAGAAGAUUCUUCGGAUGACGCUUUAUGAACCUAGCGGCGGACGGGUGAGUAACGCGUGGGAAACCUGCCCUAUACAGGGGGAUAGCCUCGGGAAACCGGGAUUAAUACCCCAUAACACUUAUUGAUCGCAUGAUCUUUAAGUCAAAACUCCGGUGGUAUAGGAUGGUCCCGCGUCCCAUUAGCUAGUUGGUGAGGUAACAGCUCACCAAGGCAACGAUGGGUAGCCGGCCUGAGAGGGUGAUCGGCCACACUGGAACUGAGACACGGUCCAGACUCCUACGGGAGGCAGCAGUGGGGAAUAUUGCACAAUGGGGGAAACCCUGAUGCAGCGAUGCCGCGUGAGCGAUGAAGGUCUUCGGAUCGUAAAGCUCUGUCCUUAGGGAAGAAUAUUGACGGUACCUAAGGAGGAAGCCCCGGCUAACUACGUGCCAGCAGCCGCGGUAAUACGUAGGGGGCGAGCGUUGUCCGGAAUCACUGGGCGUAAAGGGAGCGUAGGCGGCUCUGUAAGUCAGAUGUUAAAGGCAUUGGCUCAACCAAUGUAAGCAUUUGAAACUGCAGGGCUUGAGUACAGGAGAGGAGAGUGGAAUUCCUAGUGUAGCGGUGAAAUGCGUAGAUAUUAGGAGGAACACCAGUGGCGAAGGCGACUCUCUGGACUGUUACUGACGC
RNAcentral lists this ribosomal RNA (698 nucleotides) under uncultured bacterium. Its description in RNAcentral is "bacterial SSU rRNA". It matches the Rfam family "Bacterial small subunit ribosomal RNA", at positions 47 to 746 of the family's 1533-position model. The record is from RNAcentral.